Molecule: ribosomal RNA, 556 nt
Filed under: uncultured archaeon
Lineage: Archaea
Description: bacterial SSU rRNA
Rfam family: Archaeal small subunit ribosomal RNA
Source: RNAcentral
UCGCCCUUCGGGGUGCGCAGGCGCGAAAACUUUACAAUGCGGGAAACCGUGAUAAGGGAACUCCGAGUGCCCGUAAAAUCGGGCUGUCCAUCUGUUUAAAUAACAGGUGAAGAAAGGGCCGGGCAAGACCGGUGCCAGCCGCCGCGGUAAUACCGGCGGCUCGAGUGGUGGCCACUAUUACUGGGCUUAAAGCGUUCGUAGCUGGUCUGUUAAGUCUCUGGGGAAAUCUACUGGCUUAACCAAUAGGCGUUUCAGGGAUACUGGCAGACUAGGGACCGGGAGAGGUGAGGGGUACUCCAGGGGUAGGAGUGAAAUCCUGUAAUCCUUGGGGGACCACCUGUGGCGAAGGCGCCUCACCAGAACGGCUCCGACAGUGAGGGACGAAAGCUGGGGGAGCAAACCGGAUUAGAUACCCGGGUAGUCCCAGCCGUAAACGAUGCGCGUUAGGUGUAUCGGUGACCACGAGUCACCGAGGUGCCGAAGAGAAAUCGUGAAACGUGCCGCCUGGGAAGUACGGUCGCAAGGCUGAAACUUAAAGGAAUUGGCGGGGGAGCAC